AACGAACGCUGGCGGCGUGCCUAACACAUGCAAGUCGAACGAGAAAGGGGCUUCGGCUCCGAGUAAAGUGGCGCACGGGUGAGUAACACGUGGGUAACCUGCCUCUAAGAUUGGGAUAACUCGUCGAAAGAUGAGCUAAUACCGAAUAAGACCACAGUUCCCGCGGGAACAGGGGUCAAAGGUAGCCUCUGCUUGCAAGCUAUCACUUAGAGAUGGGCCUGCGCACCAUUAGCUAGUUGGUAGGGUAACGGCCUACCAAGGCAAAGAUGGUUAGCUGGUCUGAGAGGAUGAUCGGCCACACUGGAACUGAGACACGGUCCAGACUCCUACGGGAGGCAGCAGUGGGGAAUAUUGCGCAAUGGGCGAAAGCUUGACGCAGCAACGCCGCGUGAGUGAUGAAGGCCUUCGGGUCGUAAAGCUCUGUCGGGAGGAACGAAUGCUCCUGAGGUUAACAGCCUCGGGAGGUGACGGUAUCUUCAAAGGAAGCACCGGCUAACUCUGUG
Molecule: ribosomal RNA, 503 nt
Filed under: uncultured bacterium
Lineage: Bacteria
Description: partial 16S ribosomal RNA
Rfam family: Bacterial small subunit ribosomal RNA
Source: RNAcentral